Molecule: long non-coding RNA, 455 nt
Organism: Eublepharis macularius
Lineage: Eukaryota; Metazoa; Chordata; Lepidosauria; Squamata; Eublepharidae
Exons: 3
Source: RefSeq, a predicted model, not a curated record
GAAAGCUCAGCCCACCCACCACACCCUAUAGCAGUACAGGAUUAGCUGGUUGCUGGUUACCAGGGCCAGGACCCAGUUGGUGCUGUUCAGGAAAACAUGAUGCUGUCCUGCCAGGAGAGCCCAGUACCUGCCUGCUGCUGGAAGGUCCAAAAUGAAACACACAGAUUUUUUGAUGGGAGAGACUCAUUACUAUUCAGUUUCCUGGAUUCGGUUCACCAUUCCAAAAGCUACUUUAACAAGUGGAACCAGUGCUUUCUAAGACAAAUAUGGAUAGUGAAUAUAUGCUAAAGAGAAUAUCAGAGAAGAAAAAUCCACCACGGAGAUGACCAGAAGAUUUUAUCAUGGAAACUAAUGUUUAUGCUGACACCAACAGUUUCAUUCUGCAAUAGAUAACUCUGUCUUGCUUGCUUUCAUUACUGUUGACUGAAAAUGAGGAAUGAGAGAACAUAUUUUAA